CUGAAUUUAAGCAUAUUAAUAAGCGGAGGAAAAGAAACUAACCAGGAUUCCCCUAGUAACGGCGAGUGAAGCGGGAAUAGCCCAGCACCGAAUCGCACGCCGUCAGGCGUCGCGAACUGUGGUGUUUAGGACGAGCGCAUGUACGUCGGAGCGGCGUCCGAGUCCUCCUGAUUGGGGCUUUGCCAUAGCGGGUGUCAGCCCUCUACGGCGCCGCGACGACGUGCCCGCCACGUCCUCGGAGUCGGGUUGUUUGAGAAUGCAGCCCAAAGCUGGUGGUAAACUCCAUCUAAGGCUAAAUACAGACACGAGUCCGAUAGCGAACAAGUCCGUGAGGGAAAGUUGAAAAGAACUUUGAAGGAGAGAUAGCACUUCCGUUUAGAGGCAAACGGAGAGGACCGCAAAGUCCGUGCGUCGGAUUCAAUUCGUCGGCCGUGCGGCGGCCGCAUCGUGACAUCCGCAAGGAGUCCGGUGCGGACGUGGGCGUGCGGCGACGGGUGCACUUUCGGCGCACGGAGCGCCACGACCGGUUCGUCGGCGGUCAGAAGCCCCCGCGGAAGGUGACCGCGCUCGCAAGAGUGCGGUGUUACAGACGCGGGUGGCGUUGGCCCGUCGGCGGACCGAGGCAGACACGAACGCGGCCCCGGGCGGCCGCCGUCGAUCCGAUCGUCCGUUCGAAUUGCGGGGACUGUCGUCAGUGCCCGCAGACCGCGGAUGGUCGGCGUCGGCGGUGCGUCGCACGGGGCUCGGG
This 748-nucleotide ribosomal RNA is filed under the name Branchiura sowerbyi. Its description in RNAcentral is "eukaryotic LSU rRNA". The stretch from base 1 to 334 matches the Rfam family "Eukaryotic large subunit ribosomal RNA", at positions 28 to 358 of the family's 3401-position model. The record is from RNAcentral. Lineage: Eukaryota; Metazoa; Annelida; Clitellata; Tubificida; Naididae.